This 255-nucleotide ribosomal RNA is filed under the name uncultured bacterium. RNAcentral describes it as "partial 16S ribosomal RNA". It matches the Rfam family "Bacterial small subunit ribosomal RNA", at positions 524 to 776 of the family's 1533-position model. The record is from RNAcentral.
UACGUAGGGUGCGAGCGUUGUCCGGAAUUAUUGGGCGUAAAGAGCUUGUAGGUGGUUUGUCGCGUCUGCUGUGAAAAUCCGAGGCUCAACCUCGGACUUGCAGUGGGUACGGGCAGACUAGAGUGUGGUAGGGGGAGACUGGAAUUCCUGGUGUAGCGGUGGAAUGCGCAGAUAUCAGGAGGGACACCGAUGGCGAAGGCAGGUCUCUGGGCCAUUACUGACACUGAGAAGCGAAAGCAUGGGGGAGCGAACAGG